Molecule: ribosomal RNA, 345 nt
Filed under: uncultured bacterium
Lineage: Bacteria
Description: bacterial SSU rRNA
Rfam family: Bacterial small subunit ribosomal RNA
Source: RNAcentral
AACGAACGCUGGCGGCGUGCCUAACACAUGCAAGUCGUGCGAGAAAGUUCCUUCGGGAGCGAGUAAAGCGGCGCACGGGUGAGUAACACGUAGGUAACCUGCCCCCCAGUCUGGAACAACUAGAGGAAACUCUAGCUAAUGCCGGAUGAGACCACGAUCCCCUUCGGGGGGUUGCGGCCAAAGAUGGCCUCUACUUGUAAGCUAUCGCUGAGGGAUGGGCCUGCGGGCCAUUAGCUUGUUGGUGAGGUAACGGCUCACCAAGGCUGUGAUGGCUAGCUGGUCUGAGAGGAUGACCAGCCACACUGGGACUGAGACACGGCCAGACUCCUACGGGACGGCAGCAGU